RNAcentral lists this long non-coding RNA (3094 nucleotides) under Homo sapiens (human). RNAcentral's name for it is "HSALNT0398977". The record is from RNAcentral. Lineage: Eukaryota; Metazoa; Chordata; Mammalia; Primates; Hominidae.
AUACAAAAAUUAGCUGGGCAUGGUGGAGGCCAGCUACUCGGGAGGCUGAGGUAGGAGAACCCGGGAGGCUGAGGUUGAAGUGAGCAGAGAUCGCACCACUGCACUCCAGCCUGGCAACAGAGCGAGACUCUGUAACAAAAAAAAAAAAAUUAUAUGGAAAGAUGUCUACCUUACUCAUAGUAAGAAUUGUGCAUUGAAACUGCCAAGCUUAAAUAAUGAAGUUCGACAAAUAUGAUUAAGUACAGAGUUUAUUUGAGCACAAAGCUUGAGGAUGUCCACCCACGAGACACUGACUCCAAACUAAUGGGGACAGCAUUUCCAAAGAGGAGAAGUUAUGGUUUCACUUAUAUGUGCAGAGACUGACAUUGUAGCAGGAUUGUAACAUUUUCCAUAUGAGACGAGUGCAUAAGUUACAGCUAUUUGAUUGGUUAUAGACGGCAACGUUCCAAGGAAGAUUAUUGCUCUGUGAGGAGGGGAAGCCAUCUGAGGGGGCUCUCACAGCUGGCACCUCUUGAUCUUCUUAUUUACAGGAAAAAAGGCAGAAGUUGCCACUGCAUCCUUGUGAUUCAGGCUGCAUAGCCACAUUGCUCUCAGGUUCAGAGUAGUUCAAAGUUCCAACAGCUUUAAGUUUAAAUUAGUUUAAGUUUGAAUAAUUUAAUUUCAUAAAACUACACUGUAAUUCCAGUUUUCAGCUAUCCUGUUGAAAGUGGGCAAAAUGUCUCAUAACUGUAUUGGCAAAGGAGCUGGGAAACAUAAUCUCAUGUCUUGUUUGUAGGCUAGCAGUGAGCACAACUUCUAGAGAGGGCAAUUGACAGUUCUCAUAAAAACAAUGCUAUUACUUUUUUUUUUUUUUUUUGAGAUGGAGUUUCAAUCUUGUAUCUUGUCGCCCAGCCUGGAGUGUAAUGAUGCGAUCUCAGCUCUCCUGCCUCAGCCUCCUGAGUAGCUGGGAUUACAGGCACCCAUUACCAUGCCCCGCUAAUUUUGUGUUUUUAGCAGAGAUGGGGUUUCACCAUGUUGGUCAGGCUGGUCUCAAACUCCUGACCUCAGGUGAUCCACCCGGCUCGGCCUCCCAAAGUGCUGGGAUUACAGACAUGAGCCACCAUGCCUGGCCAAGGUGCUUACUUUGUUUUUUUUCUUGGUUUUUUUUUUUUUUUUUUUUUUUUUUUUUUCUGUUUUUUUUUAAGACAGAGUCUCACUCUGUCACCCAGGCUGGAGUGCAAUGGCGCCAUCGCGGCUCACUGCAACCUCCACCUCCUGGGCUCAAGUGAUUCUCCUGCCUCAGCCUCCCAAGCAGCUGGGAUUGCAGGUGUGCACCACCACACCCGGCUAAUUUUUGCAUUUUUAGUGGAGAUGGGGUUUCACCAUGUUGGCCAGGCUGGUCUUGAACUCCUGACCUUGUGAUCCGCACACCUCGGCCUCCCAAAGUGCUGGGACUACAGGCAUGAGCCACCGCAACCGGCUGGCAAUUACUUUUUAACCUAGAGUGUUGAAAUAUACCUGGGGGAUUUAUUUUAAUCAGUUAUGGCAAGACUCCCAGACAUGCAAAUGAUCUUCAUGAAGGAAAAAGUUUAUACUUAUAGAUUCCUGGAAACAGGAGACAUGGCCCACCACACACGGGUACACCAGUAACCUCAGGAAGCACAGGGAGUGAGGGUGAGCAAGGUCCCCGCCUCUACUGGGGUUUCUGAGGGAAGGAAUGGGUGAGGCAUGGCAGGUACUCUGAGCAAAUAUAGAUUUGAAUAGUUUUGGUAAAUCAUAGGGAUGGUUUCUAGUUGUCCAGUAUUUGGCCCUGGGGUGAUUUAGGGCAGGCAGGGAGAGAUUGGCUUAUUGUGUGAGUUUGAAAAGGAGAUGGUUGGGGUGUGGGCUGUGGAUUGGUUGGUUUGUAUUUCAAAGAUGUGCUUGUAGGGGAGUUAUUCGCUGUCUCUAGGAAAUAGCUAGCCCUGGGAAGGGAGGUCUCCAGGAUUAAGGCCCCAAAUGCCAGAGCAUCAGGAAUACGGAAAAUAAGAAAAUAUAAUAAAUACACCCAGCAAUUCCAUUUCUAGUAAAUUUUAUUAAAAAUAUGCUAUUCAUUUUCCUAGUCUAUUUCUCCCAUCCUGCUUGGUGACUUUCUCAUAUAUUUCUCUAGCUCUGUAAAUAUCUCAAUGUAUUCUACCCCAGCCUUGCUCUCCCAGAAUGACCUUGUUUGCCUCCUUCACAAACAAAAUACAAGCAGUUAAAAGACAGUAUCCACACCCUCCUGUCUACCAGCAAUCACACCUCCUUUCUCUGUCUCUUGCUGGAAAUUGAACCGUCCAUGCCAAGGCUGGCCUGUGUCCCAGCUUCCAUCCUCUUAGGCCAACUCAAGGACUUUCCUGACAAUUCCCUCUCCCUUUCCUGCAUGCUCUGGUCUGAAUGCUGGUGUCCCCCAACCCCAUAUUCAAGUAUUGAAAUCCUAACCCCAAAGGUGAGGAUAUUAGGAGUUGGGGCCUUUAGGAGGUGAUGCGGUCUUGAGGGUGGAACCCCCAUGACUGGGAAUAGCACCCUUACAGUAGAAGUCACAGAGAGCUGUCUCACUCCUUCCACCCUGUGAGGACACAACAAAGAAGGCACCCUCUGUUGAACCAGAAAGUGAACCCUCGCCAGCCACCAAAGCUGCUGAUGCCUUGAUCUGGGACUUCCCAGCCUCCAGAACUCAAUAAUUCGGCAUAGACCUGCUCUUGUUAAAGUAAUUUUAAUUUCGAGCGUAGCCUUCAGCAUUGCCCUGAUAUGUGGGAUGGCAAUCUCCUAUAUGAUAUAUCGACUGGCACAGGCUGAGGAAAGACAACAGCUCGAGUCACUUUAUAAGAACCUCAGGAUACCGUUAUUAGGAGAUGAAGAAGAGGGCUCAGAGGACGAGGGGUCCUAAAUCAGAUGAGGUGCCCAGGCUGGGCAUGGUGGCUCAUGCCUGUAAUCCCAGCACUUUGGGAGGCAGAGGUGGGCGGAUCACCUGAGCUCAGGAGUUCCAGAUGAGCAGCCCAGAGAGAGGGAAGACAGGGAGGAGCCUCCUGCAUGCCUUGGUGGCUCUGGAAUCCACCAGGGACUAUAGACUGUGCAUGGUCCUCCAGGCAGUGGUAGC